AUGCAGAAAAAAAAAAAAAAGAAAGAAAGAAAGGGAACUUUCUCAGCCAGAGAACGUCUCAAAUCCUUAACAACUCUGCUUAUAUUUACCACCAUACCUGUAAUAGUUACCUUGCCUGAGCAAUUUGGGGGCUUGGGGCAGAAUUUGGGGCCAGUGUCCAUGACCAUUCACUGCUGGAACCAGGUUUAUUGGAAGAAUUUCCUGAAAGUGCUUCCCCCAUGUAAGUCCUCACAUUUAUUGUUAAAUCCCCCAUUCUACUCAUGGUCCUUAGUCUAGAGCCUAAGCCAUAGCCGAGAAGGGCUCCACUGUUAAAGAAACCAGUGGAAAAUAACAUACUAUAAAUGCAAAAAUCAUUAAAGUAAUACUUUAUAAGAUACAUUCGUUAGACACAUUCUGAGUAAACUGAACACUUUAACCUUGAGGAGGCACAGGAAAAAAAUAUGUCCUUGGCUUGGUGAUUGUUAGGGGAGAGUUUACCCUGUGAAUGAUAUGGCUUUAUAUCAAAAAAUAAACUAGGAUUUCAAGAUCCCAGAGAACAGAGCCUUAAAUAAUGUGUUGAGAUAGUAACUUAAAAGAUAUCUGGAGCCUAUGCAAACUCAGAGUCAGAAAUUAUAUAUUUCUUUCUCCUCCUCAUAAAACAUACUCCACAAUAGAACAUUUCACCUUUCAUCUUAAAACAUUUCUCUUCUCCUUUCCUCUGCCUCAUAAAUAACAGUAGUGAAGGAGAAAAAUUAAGUUGGUAUCCACAUUGUCUGAGAUGUGUUUCAGAGGACAAUUACUUUCUAUAGCAGACUUCAGAUCAAAAUGGCAUCAUGUUUUCAUGAAUUAGGUCAAGGUGCCUUGUGUCACAACCCGAAUAGUGUUGUAAGACAAAAUGCUGUUUCCUGCCACAUGCAGCUCAGAACUCUUGAAACACCAGGAGCAGAUAAAACCUUGACACAUCAAGGGUAGCCAACUACUCAGGUAACAGGGAUGGGAGUGGGGGUGGGCACAUCUUUACCUGCUAUGGGAAUCUCAGAAUCACAUAGUGCCUUAUUCACCUGUCAACGCUCUAAAAGCUGGCUGGAUAAGGGGAGACCAGAUUGGAAAAGCCUUGACCAUGUGUGAAGAUGAGAUGAGUUUUAACAAAAGGAAUUUAGGGAAAUUAAACUCAAUUAAAAUUGACCAAAUACCCCCUAUAUGGAAGAUGCAGAAUUUAUUUAAGAAUUUUACUAGAAAGAGAGGAGACAAACAUGCUAAUGUGCACUAAUAGGUCUAAUAAGCUACAAACUGAGUUAGCACAGAGCAGGUGGGGGUAGAGACAAUUGGGAUGGUUCACCAAGAAGGCCAUCUUUGAACUAGGGUUUUAAAGACUGAAUAGAAGUUCUCUGGCUAAACAAAAUAAAGGGGAUAAUCUAGGAAGAGAGAACAUUUAUCCAGUCACACAACACAAUGUAUUUGUGGGAGGGAGCAUAGGAGAGUAUCCUUUUACAUUUAUAAAUACCUAAGGGUAUCCACAC
This 1499-nucleotide long non-coding RNA is filed under the name Capra hircus (goat). Its description in RNAcentral is "lncRNA (ENSCHIG00010002148.1)". The record is from RNAcentral. Lineage: Eukaryota; Metazoa; Chordata; Mammalia; Artiodactyla; Bovidae.